RNAcentral lists this ribosomal RNA (468 nucleotides) under uncultured bacterium. RNAcentral describes it as "partial 16S ribosomal RNA". It matches the Rfam family "Bacterial small subunit ribosomal RNA", at positions 28 to 507 of the family's 1533-position model. The record is from RNAcentral.
GACGAACGCUGGCGGCGUGCUUAACACAUGCAAGUCGAACGGAAAGGCCCUGCUUUUGUGGGGUGCUCGAGUGGCGAACGGGUGAGUAACACGUGAGUAACCUGCCCUUGACUUUGGGAUAACUUCAGGAAACUGGGGCUAAUACCGGAUAGGAGCUCCUGCUGCAUGGUGGGGGUUGGAAAGGUUCGGCGGUUGGGGAUGGACUCGCGGCUUAUCAGCUUGUUGGUGGGGUAGUGGCUUACCAAGGCUUUGACGGGUAGCCGGCCUGAGAGGGUGACCGGCCACAUUGGGACUGAGAUACGGCCCAGACUCCUACGGGGGGCAGCAGUGGGGAAUAUUGCACAAUGGGCGGAAGCCUGAUGCAGCAACGCCGCGUGCGGGAUGACGGCCUUCGGGUUGUAAACCGCUUUCGCCUGUGACGAAGCGUGAGUGACGGUAAUGGGUAAAGAAGCACCGGCUAACUACGUG